AUGAAGCCAGGGGAUGGGUGUGUGGGGGGUUAUGAUACUAUUCUCUUUACCAUGGUGAAUAGUGAGCAUAAAAGUACACGUCGCUGGGUGCAGUGGCCCACACCUGUAAUCCCAGCACUUUGGAAGGCCGAGGCAGGCUUUUUAGUAGAGAUAGGAUUUCACCAUGUUGGCCAGGCUGGUCUUGAACUCCUGACCUCAGGUGAUCCGUCUGCCUCAGCCUCCCGAAGUGCUAGGAUUACAGGCGUGAGCCACCGCGUCCAGUCUUCGAACUAUUGUUCUUAAAAAAAAAAAAAAAAAUAGAUUUUAUCUUGACCAAAGAGUUUGGGACUAAAUAUUUUCCCCACUAGAAAAAUUUUGAAGUACUUAUGUGGGAAAGGGAACAACGCAGGAAAUGUUGCUGAGCAAAUCUCUUUACCCCCUGUUUUCAGACUGCAGUUUCACGGGGAUUCCUAAGCCUAGGUGCUAACAUGUGUGCCUAGAAAAACAGAGGUGGCAUGGAUGUUAGAAGGCUGUGUGCAAGUGGAUGGCAUCCAAUCCAUAGAGUGCUUAGAGAACAGUGGAGAAAAGAUGAAGCGAUAAAGAGAUUGUGAAGCCAGAUAUCCUAAGGCUGCUGAGGGAAGCUCAAGGGGGAUUGGGAGUUGGAGACUGCGUGCCUCACGUGGCUGAGCUGCAAGAAUAGCUCACUCCUUUCUUGAUGACAGUUACUCCAAGUCAGAUAAUAUUUUGCCUGGCCUCCACUCAGUAAAUUGAAAAUGUGCAGCCAUUUGAAACUACACCAUGACAGUGGCUCAUGCCUAUAAUCCUACCACUUUGGGAGACUGAGGUGGGCAGAUGGCUUGAGCCCAGGAGUUUGAGACUAGACUGGGUUACAAGGUGAAAACUCAUCUCCACAAAAAAAAAAUACAAAAGUUAUCUGGAUGUGGUGGUUCAUACCUAUACUUCCAGCUACUUGGAAGGCUGAGGUGGGAGGCUCAUCUGAGCCCAGGAGAUUGAGGCUACGGUGAGCUGAGAUUGCUCCACUGUACUCCAGCCUGGGCUACAACGUGAGACUCUGUCUCAAAAAACAAAACAAAACAAAAAAACAAAAACAAAACAAAACAAAACAAAACUACACCAUGGGCCAGGCAUGGUGUCUCACACCUGUAAUCUUAGCACUUUGAGAGGCCAAGGCAGGAGGAUUGCUUUACACCAGGAGUUUGAGACCUGCCUGGGCAGCAUAGUGAGACCCCCAUAGCUAAAAGUAAUCAUAAUAAUGAUAAUAAUAAAAGGUUAAACGACUCUAGGUGCAGAUUUUGGGGGCACAAGGAUUUGCCGUGCACAAGCUGGGACAUAGCUGCCUGUCCUGAAAACAGAGGUGUCGUGUCCACUUUCCCACCAUACGCUGUGGCCAUCCUUUUGACAGUCCACUCCAUUGAUGGAACAGAUAAAUCAGAAGUCCUGCUGGAAGGAAACCAAUUGUUCAACUCUUGAAUUCUUUUGCAAAAGAAUUCAAGUCAUUUAAGGUUAGCCUUAAAAUAGAACACCCCAGUAACGUGAUCAACAUGGAACAAAAGCUCCGGGAGAGACAGGAGGUCAGAGAGAAAAUGAUACCUCUGGCCGGCAACCCCGCAGAGACUUCCAGGAAUAAGCAGGUAGCAGCCUCAGAAAUGCCACUGAUAUCUGAUGUGUCCGCAGUUUCCAAAGACCCUGGAUGUUCCUUGAUUCUCUACUACUUUUUUGUGUCACUAAACACUGACUCAUACAUAACACAAGUUUCUGAACAGAAAUUAAUAUGAUCUCAUUAAUUAGAUAGAGGAGAUGAGUUGCAAUGUAAACUGAGUGAAGAAUUAGUAUCUAGACAAAAGAAGGGAGUGUGAGCUCACCAAGGGUACC
Molecule: long non-coding RNA, 1872 nt
Organism: Papio anubis (olive baboon)
Lineage: Eukaryota; Metazoa; Chordata; Mammalia; Primates; Cercopithecidae
Source: Ensembl